Molecule: long non-coding RNA, 1862 nt
Filed under: Sus scrofa (pig)
Lineage: Eukaryota; Metazoa; Chordata; Mammalia; Artiodactyla; Suidae
Description: lncRNA (ENSSSCG00040062486.1)
Source: RNAcentral
GUAGCUCUGCGGGUCCGUGCUGGGCGCGAUGGCGGACUGGGCUCGGGCUCAGAGCCCCGGCGCUGUGGAGGAGAUUCUAGACCGGGAGAACAAGCGGAUGGCGGACACCUUGGCCUCCAAGGUCACCAGGCUCAAGUCGCUGGCCUUGGACAUUGAUAGGGAUGUGGAGGACCAGAACCGGUACCUGGACGGCAUGGACUCGGAUUUCACGAGUGUGACGGGCCUCCUCACGGGGAGUGUGAAGCGCUUUUCCACAAUGGCGAGAUCUGGGCGAGACAACCGGAAGCUUCUCUGUGGUGUGGCCAUGGGCCUGAUCGUGGUCUUCUUCAUCCUCUCCUACCUCCUGUCAAGGGCAAGGACGUGAGCCAGUGGGAACUGGUUUCUGUAGGUACCUGGGACAACCAGGGUCUUCCUCUGCCUUGUGUCCUGGGCUCCAGAAGAUCUACCUACAAAAUACCCCUUCGAAGUGAUGAGCAUGGCUUAGGAAUCUUUUUCCUGUGUGGCUGGGAGCCUCUGACCCAGUAAGCUCAUGUUAGCUGGUCCCAUGUGUGCAAGGGGCCCAUCCCCAUUGGGUAACCAAGGCCCAGCUUCCUCUGCCAUCUUGGGUGCUAGAAGCCCUAGCAGAGCCAGGUUGGAGCAGAGCAGCUGGGAAUCCUGGACGUGACCACCUGUGACCAGCAGCCCUUCCCCCAGCCCUCAGGGUUCUGAUGUAUUGAGGCUUCUCUGCUUGGUCUUGGUCUGGAUAAGGCCACGUCUGGUAUUCGAGGUGCCCAGAGCCGACACAGGAAGGGGUGCGACUGUGAACCUCGAAUCAUUGCUGUCACUUUCAGCCAAGGGUCCUCAAACCAGAGAUGGCCGUUGCUCCUGGCCAGGGCUGCCGGGCACUGGUGGACCAGCAAGAGUCAAGGGUCCUGCCGAGAGGUGUCUGCCUGCCGUCCAACCCCAUGGCUGGAGCCCGACCCUCAGGGAAGGGCAGUGGCCAUGCGUGGAGAAGUGAACUGCAGCAUUGGCUGAAGACGCGGGCCCAGGUCCUCCUGGUCUCCCUGUGUCCAGGAGCAGAAACUGACCUUUUCUCAGGAUUCAGGGUCUGUCCAGCACCGAGACACGUUUCCAGGAGCCCAGAUCUCUAGAAAGAGGCUCAUCUGGCAUGUCAGAGUCAGGCAGGUUUCUUCCAAACCAAUGGGUCUUUCUACCCCACUGUGAGAUCUCAGUGUCUUCCCAUGAAAACACCUGUAAGAAACGAGUCAUCAGCUCUGUCCUUCCCGUCUUUUGUUCCAGUUCUCUGUCUUCCUGGUCACUCCCCUUCACUCUCUGAGGGCUACCGGCUCACCGGCCAUCUUCACACAUACACAUGUGGUCAUAUGUCAGCCACAGCCUGUGCCUCUCAACUCCUGCCACCCCACCCUGCUCUGGUCUCUGGCCCUGGGCACCUCACCUUCUGGCCCUGCUGCUCCUGCUCCUCCUCUCUCUCUCCUUUGUUCUCCACCGAGCAGGCCUGGCUUGUCUCACACUCACCAUAAUGCCCUUCUCUUUUCCACUGCGCCUGGUUGGGCCUCAGCCUUCUGGAAGGGGAGCGUGCUACCUUCUCAUUUCCGAGUGCUCUGUUCUUACUGCCUCCAUCCCUCCAGUGUGUGCUUGUUUCUCACUCGGUGAGGUCCGCUUCCUUGCCUCCAUGGCUUCGACUCAGCCGUCAGCUCAUCUCAUGUUGAAAUUUGUCACAGGGACGUGCCUACUGUUCAUGAAGCUCAGCAGCUGCUGCCGUGUCGUGUUUCCAUCGGGUCACCACAGGCACGGCAGACACAUCAGACCUGAGUGUGGCAGCCGCCUGUUCUGGGCCUGCUAACCUGGCUUCCUGAGAAUAU